Molecule: ribosomal RNA, 192 nt
Filed under: uncultured Aeromonas sp.
Lineage: Bacteria; Pseudomonadati; Pseudomonadota; Gammaproteobacteria; Aeromonadales; Aeromonadaceae
Description: partial 16S ribosomal RNA
Rfam family: Bacterial small subunit ribosomal RNA
Source: RNAcentral
UACGGGAGGCAGCAGUGGGGAAUAUUGCACAAUGGGGGAAACCCUGAUGCAGCCAUGCCGCGUGUGUGAAGAAGGCCUUCGGGUUGUAAAGCACUUUCAGCGAGGAGGAAAGGUCAGUAGCUAAUAUCUGCUGACUGUGACGUUACUCGCAGAAGAAGCACCGGCUAACUCCGUGCCAGCAGCCGCGGUAAU